AACUAUUUCCGCGAUUUUUUUAGUCGAUGUAGUACCCAGGAGUUUUGGGCAAAAACGGGGCAAAAAGGGAUGUGUGCUCCAGAACUCUCCAAUCCCUACUACUGGGCUGUAUGACACCCCCGAAGAGGGCAACUGGAGAUGGGCGGACAACACUCCUUUCAACUACACGAACUUCAAUUCAGGUGAGGGUGACUCGGCCUUGAACCUGGACUACGCAAACAACUGCGCCGUUCUACUCAAAGGCACAGGAAAAUGGAGGGCCACGCAAUGUCAUUCGUACAAUGUCAGGAUCUGUGUGCAGCCUCGUGGUGAGCAGUUGUGUCCAGAUGGAGGAACUUUUUCCGUGACCGAUGCUACUGGUCUUAUCAGUCUGGAAACUGGGACAAGGCUAACAGAGAUUGCGAAGAGCAGUUUGGGAAAGGUGUA
Acanthaster planci (crown-of-thorns starfish) is the source of this 426-nucleotide long non-coding RNA. Lineage: Eukaryota; Metazoa; Echinodermata; Asteroidea; Valvatida; Acanthasteridae. The record is from RefSeq and is a predicted model, not a curated record.